Molecule: long non-coding RNA, 1617 nt
Filed under: Triticum aestivum (bread wheat)
Lineage: Eukaryota; Viridiplantae; Streptophyta; Magnoliopsida; Poales; Poaceae
Description: long non-coding RNA (TAES_LNC002450)
Source: RNAcentral
UAUAUAUAUAUCUGAAAAUGAAAGUCGUCACGUCAAAACUUUUGGAUGAUUUAUUUUUAUUGCUCGAGUAUUGUACUAUAGGUAGCGAGUUCCAUGUUGAACUGCAAAUUUAGAAGAAAAAAAAGUUCAUUCGAUGGUAGAAAAAAAUAUCACACAAAACAUAGAUUACUGGUAAAUAUUUCUAGGUAGUGAGUUAAGAGACAAAAACCUACAAAGCCACACAAGAUAAACACUAGCCCGUGUGAAUGCGCGGUUUAACGACUAGUAGUAUAAAAUGCUCAAAUAUGGUGAUUUCACCAAAGUUUUUGCACAUGGAUGUUUCAGAUAAAGAGCUACAUGGAGUUCGAGCUCCAUUUUGCAUUCUGGUUAAAGUUUUUUUGAAAGGUGCUUAUAAUAUAGAAAACACUUUAGGUAGAAAUUCUAACGUGAGCUGUUCAUUGUCUGAAACUUGUGUUGAACUUAUCAAACUUAUCACAGGAUACCUGAAUGUGGGUUGCUUUAGACUUGCCUUGAGGAACUGGUGACAAAAUACACAUAAACCAAGUUUGUUAAAAUUAUCUCCACGAACUAUAUUCCCAAUUACCCAUAUAGGAUGUUGCCGAAGGGAUUUUUGUUGGUCUGUAGAAGCUUUGUGGAACGAAAUGCACACCUGAAUGUAGGUUAUAUGGCACAAUCAGUUUCCAUUAUCUUAGUUCAAGUUUUCUUUUCGUGAGGUUACUUCAAGUUACUCUUUAUUUAAUUGGCUGGACAACAAAAUAACAGUGUAUGUGUGUGGCUAUCUUAAAGUUUCAAUUACCCGCUUGUAGUAUACAAUUUACUAUUUUUCUGUAUGCUAUAAUCUAGAUGCCUUAACAUGGCUAAUCUUUGAUCUUAGGAUGAGACUUCCUUUUUUCGUACCAAGAGGGAACCAUGUUGAUGACAACAUGCAUGUCUAUAUGUUUGAUAUAUAUGGUCCUAAUGUAUGUUUGGUUUGUGACAUAUGGCAAAAGAAAAGAAAAAGGUUGAGGAGACAAACUUUAAGAGUCCCUAACAGAGUGGCAUGCCUACUUCGCAGUUAUACAUUCUUGUUACAAUUAAAUUGAGCCUCUACUAGGAAUAAGGAACAACAAGAAUUUGUAUUGGUCAUUUACAGUACACUGAACUGAUUGAGCCUUCCUUCGAUAAAUGAUCGAUCCUAGAAUAUUUAAGUUUUGAAUGCGGCUUGCAUCUCCACAUGUUGAGUUUUCAUUCUCUUUAUUUAAUCUAUUGCAGUGGUGCUUUGCCAGUCAGGUCUAGCACUGAACGAUGUGCAGGGUGGUGGUGGUUCAUCCUAUAGCAAUGUCAAAGAAGGCAUCCAUAGAAGUUCAUAGAGAAGCUUGUCAUCUACUCCCGCCGUACAUAUAUAUAUGGCGUUUUGGUAGGCUAAGUAGCAUGAAGGCCGAUGAAGACGAAGAUGAUGCAUGGCUAGGUUGUUGAUAGAAAGAUGGAGAAUGGGGCUACUACAAGAUAGUUUUACAUUUUGCCUUCUUUUUCAUGGUUAAUAUAUAGGAGAUUAUGUGAUAUCUUUUUCAGAUUGUGUUCCAUGUAAUGCAACCAAGUUGAUUAAAUAUAUGAAAUCUUUCUGUUUACUGGAUUGCU